AGCUAAUGGGGCCUCCCGCUGCUGCCGCGCCGCAGGAGCACAAUUACUGUUCUCAUCCUGAAGCAAAGUUCUUAACCCGAAGUACUAUUUCUGGGUUAGCGGAGUAUGUAACCUGAAGCGUCUGUAACCCGAGGUACCACUGUACUCCUAUCAUCCCUUCCCAUUGGCCAUUCAGGCUGGGUCUGCUGCUAAUUAUAUUCAAAAAACAUCUGCAGAGCUCCAUGUUGGCCACCGCUGGUUUAUGCUGUUUAAAAAUCUGUUGGAUACCACCAUAAUCUUUGGUCCUUGAAGUGUAUUAUUGAUUGUUUUGUAUGGAUGUUUCACUGUUUUGUCUCUGUAACUGAUUUUUCAAAGUGGUGGAAGUAUAUUUUGAUGCGCCAGGGUCGUUUAUUUUGAACUUAUUAAGCUUUGUUACAAAUGCUGUAUAUUUUGAUGCUUGCGUUUCUUUUGCCACCUUGGGUCAACUCAGCCCAGAAAGGCAGCUUAUAAAUAUUUAAAUAAAUGCAUGUG
Molecule: non-coding RNA, 510 nt
Organism: Podarcis lilfordi (Lilford's wall lizard)
Lineage: Eukaryota; Metazoa; Chordata; Lepidosauria; Squamata; Lacertidae
Source: the annotation of a GenBank genome assembly